AAAAAAAAAAAAAAAAGGAAAAAGCAAUUGACCAUGAUAAAAACUAAAGAAAUGAUACCCUAUGACCUAUCAUUUUAAAGAGAGAAUGAAAUUAUAUAACUUUUGGAUUAUUUUUGAUUUCAUCAGUGAUAUCAUUAUAUAGUCUCCUAUGUACAUCAUAAUAGAUCACUUGGACCUAUAGUUCUUUCCUCUCUUCUUCUCGCAUCAACAUCUCCCUUGACAAAUGACAAGUCCCCUCAGGCCUCAGUUUAGUUUGGUUAGUCCAAAAUAGCUACUUGAUGUUGUCAGGUUAAUACCAAACCGAGUUGCGAGAUGGGGUUAAUCAUAGAUUAUCAUGUGCUGCACCAUCUGCUUCCUCCCCACAGAUUCAGCACGCACAGCAAGUCAGCAAUAUGACAUGAAUGAACUAAAUGUGAACCUCUUGAAAUGCUGAAUAUGACACUGUCAUAUAGAUGCCACACCUUUAGUCAUCAACUGUUGCAGUAGAAACAUAUAUGAACAACUAAUCCACGCUACAAAACUAUAAAGCCACUAAAUGACAUAACUUAGACAAGAGGCUGCAUGGCUAGAAGCUAUAUAGUUAUUCUAAGCAUCUACAGCAUGCCAGAGGAGUAUUCUUUGAUCCGACUGUUGCAUGAGAACUUGGAAAGGAACUACUACAGAACCACUCUAUAAGCCCUCCUCCUACAUGAAUUCCUAAAGAAUCAUAAUCCCUAUAAAAUAUAUACACAGAUUUCUCUCUCCAAUAGUUUAUCCUUUCAUGUUUCUUCCUUUCCUCCCUAAGAGGUCAAGAACAACAUUAUUUCGCCACAAAUUUAUGGACACGAACACACAGGAAAUGGAUCAAUUUGGAGUUAGCGCAAGGAAUUGUAAUGCAUUAAUACAAUAGCAUUCAAGAAAGACCAAAACUUUGUAAUACUACUAUAUCAAAUUUGUGAAAUAACUGCUCUAUGUUUAAUAAACUUGAAAGAGAUAUGAACACACUUCAAACACAGUCACUUGAGCAAGUAUGAGUUUUUUGUUUCAUCAACAAGAAAUCCAUUUACAUGUAUCCCCGAACCCCAGUGCCCAAUUCACAAAUAGACACAUACCAAUAAUGAGUUGCAUUUGAAGAAUUUGCUAAAUUACCAUAUCAAUCUAUCUGAUUAAAAAUAAAAGGCAGUAUAUGCUCCCUUUCUAUUCCUCUUCAUCUUCUCAAGCUCGAUCUUAGCUUCCAAAAACAUAUUCAUCCUCUGGAACUCAAGAUCCUUGGUAAACUCCACCCUCUGCUUCUCCAAUUCGAUCAUAUACCAGCCUCGUUGCUUACAACAUACCUCCAUAACAUUCAAAACAAAAAAUAACAGAGCCCAGUUCUCUGUAGUUGGUUCCACCACCGAACAAAAAAAAUGAAGACAAAGUUCCAGUCGUUGACAAACAGAGCCCAGUUCACAUUCUUUC
RNAcentral lists this long non-coding RNA (1437 nucleotides) under Panax ginseng (ginseng). RNAcentral describes it as "long non-coding RNA (PGIN_LNC000874)". Lineage: Eukaryota; Viridiplantae; Streptophyta; Magnoliopsida; Apiales; Araliaceae. The record is from RNAcentral.